GGCACUGCAACAUGCACCUGACCUCCCUGCUACGGUGAAGCUCCUCUUUCCAGGAAAUGUACGUGGUGGACUGUGUGUACUGCUGCUCUAAGCUGCCAGCCGGCUGAACAUACAACUGGCAUCUACAGGCAGAAGGCAUGGAAGAGAACCUCAGACUCUUCACGAUCUCUCUAUAAGAUAACAAUUUCCCUGUCUUCGCAAUGGUAACAUCACCGUGAAUACUUUACUUCUGAGUAUGGCCGCUUUUCUCUCCUAACUGAAUGGUCAUCCUUUUGGAAACAUAAUACUUAUUAUUUCUGGCAUAAUCAAGCUUUAUAAGGCUCUUAUUAAAGUCUAUCUUACGUUUAGAAGAAA
This is a non-coding RNA of Rattus norvegicus (Norway rat), 354 nucleotides long. The record is from RefSeq and is a predicted model, not a curated record. NCBI's taxonomy places the organism in Eukaryota, Metazoa, Chordata, Mammalia, Rodentia, Muridae.